Molecule: long non-coding RNA, 1759 nt
Filed under: Homo sapiens (human)
Lineage: Eukaryota; Metazoa; Chordata; Mammalia; Primates; Hominidae
Description: long non-coding RNA NONHSAT217316.1
Source: RNAcentral
UGUAAGAUGUGACUUGCUCCUCCUUGCCUUCCACCAUGAUUGUGAGGCCUCCCCAGCCACAUGGAACGACCAGCCAACACUUACGGAAAAUAGAACCUACGUUGAAAUAUUGGGGGCUGGUUUCCUCUAUACAAGAGGAGUCAUGAAUAUUUAUGAAAGGAGAAAUCGCACAUGCACAAAAGAAAGUCACUAUGUGCAGUUAUGGCCCAGUUCCUUGAGGUUGGAGUAUCUGAUUUUUCUGCACAGAGGUUCAUAGGCAGAAGGGACUUACCUUGCCUCAGUAUGAAUGAUGGAUAACAGAACCAGAGACUGGGAACAUGGAGGCCAAGGGGGAACUCCUCGGGAGCUGCAACUGACACACAAAGGAAAUUUUAAGCAAGGCAGUGGAAAUGAGCAAGGCAAUUUACUUCUAUAGAAGGGUGCGCCCUCACAGAUGGAGCAAUGAAUGUGAAUUCGAAUUGUUGCAGAAUGUCAAAGGAGAACUCUUCCUGCUGUCUCAGAAUUUCAGCUGGAGCUACAGAGAUCAAAGAGAGGUUGUUAAAUACCCACUAAUUUGAAAGCGAGUUGACAGGCCAGCUGUGCAGAACAUGCUAAGGGGUAACCCCAAAAGACAGAUAAGCCUUUGUCUAUGACGUGCCUCAAGCCAAUACAAGGAGAAAAAAGAAGAGCAAUAAAGGAAAGACCAUGAGGAUGGGUUUCUGUGAGAAGAGCUGUAGAUUUUUCCUUUCUUCUCCAUACCUUGAGCCAAGUUGGGAGGUUGUAAAAAUCCUCUGACAGAGCUUGGGUGUGCUUCCUGCCAGGAGGAAGACUAACCUGGAACAAGCGGGUGGGGAGAGACCUUCAGAGAAUUUGGACUCCCUACAGUCGGGGGCACAGGGUUUUGUGUUGACUUGCACUUGUAGAAGUCCGAUGCCAGCCGGGCGCGGUGGCUCACGCCUGUAAUCCUAGCACUUUGGGAGGCUGAGGCGGGUGGAUCACGAGGUCAGGAGAUCGAGACCAUUCUGGCUAACACUGUGAAACCCCGUCUCUACUAAAAAAAAAAUGCAAAUUAGCCAGGUGUGGUGGCGGCGCCUGUAGUCCCAGUUACUCGGGAGGCUGAGGCAGGAGAAUGGCGUGAACCCGGGAAGCGGAGCUUGUAGUGAGCCGAGAUUGCACCACUGCACUCCAGCCUGGGCGACAGAGCGAGACUCUGUCAAAAAAAAAAAAAGAAAAAAGAAAAAAAAGAAAGAAAGAAGGAAAGAAAAAAUUCCGAUGCGGAUGACCUGCCUGCAGAAGGAGCUACCCACUGAAGGUCUCUUCUCUGCUGAGAGCUGGACACUCAUUGGGAUGAACUGCCUGUGGAAAGGAGCUACCCACUUUGGGUCUCUAGAGAGCUGUUCUGUUGCUCAGUGAAGCUCCUGUGCAUCUUGCUCACCCUCCAAUUGUCUGCAUACUUCAUUCUUCCUGGACAUGGGACAAGAACUCAGGACCAAAUGGUGGGACUGAAAGAGCUAUGACACAAACAGGGCUCAAGAUUUAACAGCCAACAACAAAACAAAAUAAAGCAAAAUAAAUGUCAGAAUGUGUGAGCUAUCAGAUCAUUGGCCUGUGGAUAUUCAAGUCUGAACUGAAUUUGAAUUGUCUCUUUUCGGGGAAAUGAUGCACAUUGUAUCAUGUCAGGCAAUAAUUUUUUGUAUAUGUUAUGGAUAGUUUGUAUGUAUGUGUGUGGUGGGGAUGGUAUGAAUGCAUGUGCUGGCUGGGAAGUAAAGCGAUGAACUGC